UACGUAGGUGACCAGCGUUGUCCGGAUUUACUGGGCGUAAAGAGCGCGCAGGCGGUCGUUCAAGUCGAGUGUGAAAGCCCCCGGCUCAACUGGGGAGGGUCACUUGAUACUGAUCGACUCGAAGGCAGGAGAGGGAAGCGGAAUUCCACGUGUAGCGGUGAAAUGCGUAGAGAUGUGGAGGAACACCAGUGGCGAAGGCGACUCUUUGGCCUGUAACUGACACUGAGGCGCGAAAGCGUGGGGAGCAAACAGG
This 253-nucleotide ribosomal RNA is filed under the name uncultured bacterium. Its description in RNAcentral is "partial 16S ribosomal RNA". It matches the Rfam family "Bacterial small subunit ribosomal RNA", at positions 524 to 776 of the family's 1533-position model. The record is from RNAcentral.